UGGCUCAGCAGUAAUGGAACUGACUAAUAUCCAUGACGCAGAUUCGAUCCCUGGCCUCACGCAGUGGGUUAAGGAUCCAGCGUUGCCAUGAACAGUGGUUUAGGUCACAGAUGCUUCGAAAAUCAGCAAUACAAAUGGACAGCUUUGCCCUGAAAGGCCUGUUUCCUUCAGCGAAGAUCACGCCUCUGAAGGCUCUCACCUGGGGCCACCCAGACAGGCUGCUCGGGAACCUGGCCUCCGGGUGUGUGAUGGGAUUUUCCACCUCUUCCGCCCAGCCCAUGCCCGGCACAGCUUGGGCACACAGCCAAUGCCCCAAGGUCCCUUACCCUCUAUCUUAGCCUCCCUACCUGGCCUCUGGGUGUGCGAUGGGAUUUUCCACCUCUUCCGCCCAGCCCAUGCCCAGCACAGCUUGGGCACACAGCCAAUGCCCCAAGGUCCCUUACCCUCUAUCUUAGCCUCCCUUGGCCCCCCAGGCAGUAGGUCUCAGCUUAGGGGCAGCAGAAAGCACUGGUCCACUGGGCCUGGGGCAGAGUGCUUCCUUUCUCAGCCUGGACACACCCACUGGGGGCUGGGGCCCUCACGUCCCCGCCCCUGCCGCCCAGUGCCAGCCCCUCCCUGGAGGAAGCCGCAGACGGGGUGGUUUCUUUAGAGGAAAGGACCCUUAGUGGGUCCACUCAGCCUGCCACUCACGGGGGCCUGUCCCCCCGGGAACGUGGCAGCUCCCAGGACCGCCUCUCCCAGGACGUGGGUGACCCAAUGGCUGGAAGAAGGAUGUUACUGUAGCCCCUGGGGGUUGAGAGCAGCUGGCAGCCUUGAGAAGCCUCUCCUGCAGUUUGACAGAGGUCCCCCAGAAGAGUCUGCUGGCUUCCAACUGGCCAGAAAACUGGCCCAGCUGCAUUCCAGACUCCCUGGCAUGGGGGGAAGAGGUCUCCGAGGGGGCUGAACCUGACUCAUCUCUAGGGAGAAGAUGGGCCGGCCAGGGCCCCCCAGGGAUAAGGUCUCUGCCACCCAGCUCUCCGGCGCCCCUGCCGCCCCCCACCGCGCCCCAGCUGAUGCCAUCCUUGGCCCUGAGGACUCGGACCUGGUGCCCUCCCUGACCUUGGCCGCAGCCCUGGUCCUGUUGUUCCUCCUGCUCUCCGCCUGGCUGGUGUGGGACAGGUCCCUCCAACCCUCCUGCUAACGUGGGUCCCGAGCAGGGGCUCGAGGGGGCAUGGCCCAGGGCCAGGAGUGGCAGGAGCGGAACCAGGGAUGGGGCUGGCUGGGCAUUGCAGCCAAACCCUGUGACCGGCUAGCCCUUGCCCAUGCGACCCCAGGGGACCCUGGGAGACCCUCGAGUCCCCCCCACUGGAGGGCAGGAACCUGGAUGAGCCCCGGACUGCGCUUCAGAAGGCCGCCGCUGCUGGAGCCUCACAGGAGCCACAGGAGGUGGGCUGAGAACCCGGGGCAGUGAAAGAGCAUGGCAGAGCUGCUUGAAAUCAUUUCUCCCCGUUUGCUGCCCGGUCCCCAUCCUAACUGCUUGCAAAUAAAGCCUGGUGACCCAGGGUAUUUGUGAA
Molecule: non-coding RNA, 1553 nt
Organism: Sus scrofa (pig)
Lineage: Eukaryota; Metazoa; Chordata; Mammalia; Artiodactyla; Suidae
Source: RefSeq, a predicted model, not a curated record